GACGAACGCUGGCGGCGUGCUUAACACAUGCAAGUCGAACGGUGAAGGGAUCAGCUUGCUGGUUCUGGAUGAGUGGCGAACGGGUGAGUAACACGUGAGUAACCUGCCCCCUUCUUCUGGAUAACCGCAUGAAAGUGUGGCUAAUACGGGAUAUUCUGCGCCUGCUGCAUGGUGGGUGUGGGAAAGAUAUUGUUUCGGUGGGGGAUGGGCUCGCGGCCUAUCAGCUUGUUGGUGGGGUGAUGGCCUACCAAGGCGGUGACGGGUAGCCGGCCUGAGAGGGGGGACGGUCACACUGGGACUGAGACACGGCCCAGACUCCUACGGGAGGCAGCAGUGGGGAAUAUUGCACAAUGGGCGCAAGCCUGAUGCAGCGACGCCGCGUGAGGGAGGGAGGCCUUCGGGUUGUGAACCUCUUUCGACAGUGAAGCAGGCCUGUCCCGUGUGGGUGGGUUGACGGUAGCUGGAGAAGAAGCGCCGGCUAACUACGUG
This 489-nucleotide ribosomal RNA is filed under the name uncultured bacterium. RNAcentral's name for it is "partial 16S ribosomal RNA". It matches the Rfam family "Bacterial small subunit ribosomal RNA", at positions 28 to 507 of the family's 1533-position model. The record is from RNAcentral.